GACGAACGCUGGCGGCGUGCUUAACACAUGCAAGUCGAACGGAAAGGCCCUGCUUUUGUGGGGUGCUCGAGUGGCGAACGGGUGAGUAACACGUGAGUAACCUGCCCUUGACUUUGGGAUAACUUCAGGAAACUGGGGCUAAUACCGGAUAGGAGCUCCUGCUGCACGGUGGGGGUUGGAAAGUUUCGGCGGUUGGGGAUGGACUCGCGGCUUAUCAGCUUGUUGGUGGGGUAGUGGCUUACCAAGGCUUUGACGGGUAGCCGGCCUGAGAGGGUGACCGGCCACAUUGGGACUGAGAUACGGGCCAGACUCCUACGGGAGGCAGCAGUGGGGAAUAUUGCACAAUGGGCGGAAGCCUGAUGCAGCAACGCCGCGUGCGGGAUGACGGCCUUCGGGUUGUAAACCGCGUUCGCCUGUGACGAAGCGUGAGUGACGGUAAUGGGUAAAGAAGCACCGGCUAACUACGUG
RNAcentral lists this ribosomal RNA (468 nucleotides) under uncultured bacterium. RNAcentral describes it as "partial 16S ribosomal RNA". It matches the Rfam family "Bacterial small subunit ribosomal RNA", at positions 28 to 507 of the family's 1533-position model. The record is from RNAcentral.